RNAcentral lists this ribosomal RNA (253 nucleotides) under uncultured bacterium. Its description in RNAcentral is "partial 16S ribosomal RNA". It matches the Rfam family "Bacterial small subunit ribosomal RNA", at positions 524 to 776 of the family's 1533-position model. The record is from RNAcentral.
UACGUAGGGUGCGAGCGUUAAUCGGAAUUACUGGGCGUAAAGUGUGCGCAGGCGGCAGAGCAAGUCGAGUGUGAAAGCCCCGGGCUUAACUUGGGAAUUGCGCUCGAAACUACUUUGCUGGAGUGUGGCAGAGGAAGGUGGAAUUCCACGUGUAGCGGUGAAAUGCGUAGAGAUGUGGAGGAACACCAAUGGCGAAGGCAGCCACCUGGGCCGACCCUGACGCUGAGGCGCGAAGGCGUGGGGAGCGAACGGG